Long non-coding RNA from Pelobates fuscus (common spadefoot toad), 2019 nucleotides. RefSeq lists it as uncharacterized. NCBI's taxonomy places the organism in Eukaryota, Metazoa, Chordata, Amphibia, Anura, Pelobatidae. The transcript is spliced from 2 exons. The record is from RefSeq and is a predicted model, not a curated record.
GUGUAAAAACACAAUAUGCUGAACACAAACCAUGAUAGUGGAGAGCAUUGGCAGGUGGAGGUGGUUAGACUGUGGCAUUCAGUAAUAUUUUUUGUAAACUCUAGCAUGUUUAACUAGUCUAAAUUACAUGGUAAUGGUAAACUAUAAUUUCUGUCAGUAGUGUAUAACUUUGCACUGUUCAUUUCAUGUAGCCAGUUUGUUUGGAUUUGAGUCAGUUUAUAUACAGGGCAUGCAAGUGCAGAUGUUAGUUGGCAUAUUAAGCAAAGGGCUAUAGCACCACAUUACAUAGUUACACAUUACAGACCAUAUACCAUGUGCUUUAAGCUGCAGAUUGGUACUUGGUAUAAAAUGUAGUUUUGCCGUGUCUUUCUUUCAUUGAUUUUUAGUAGUCACUUAGGGACACUAAGCAACAAAGAUCAAAAUGUGUUUGAAAGCAGUAUGACAAGAAGCAGGGCUUUCCCAGCCACUUACAGACCCCAUCCUCAUUGACAAUGUGAAAUUUAAUACGAAAUUGACAUUGAAAAUGGUGAAGUGUACAUUCCUCUUUGUCAAUGGAACAGAGUAUUGCAGCGUCUCUGGACUCCAGGACUAUUAGCAGCUUAACCAUAACACACUUUUAUAUUCCCAGACCAUCUUUUGUAAAUGGUUUUGUCCUUAUUGAAUGUUUGGAUGAGGUGAUAGGUGUUCAUGACACAGCUGAAUAUGGGAAUUAUAAACAUUUUUUGAAUGCGGGGAAACAAAAUACACUUAAUAUGAGUAUAUGUUAUUGGAAAGGAAGCUCUAUAUAUUGCCAUAGCGUUGCCACUAUGUAUACCUGCUUGUUUCAAUGUCAAUUGAAUCUGGGCUUUUACACUUGACGACCAUGUUUGUAUGGUUAUUGACUGUCAGAUAUAUAAUUCUCCUAUUAGAAGUCUUGCAACAUUACACUGUAGAACACGUAACGAGUAUGAAACCAAGAUGUUGAUUGGUUUUUUUCUAGUGGUGCGUAGCAGAAAUAUUUCUCCUAUGGGUUAAAGUAAAACAUUUGGUAAGUGCUCUUUGUAAUGCUCUGGGGGUCUGCUAUGAAUUGCAGACUUGAGCAUCUCAGGCCAGCUUCAUUGCACACAAAUUUUAAGGUAGUUCUUAACCAAGGCGAAAAUGUUUAUCUAAGGCAUGUAUGCUAAUAGAUUAAUUACCUCUAACAAUAAAAUGUAUCUUCCAGCUAUAGUGAGAGGCUUCUGGCAUCCAAUUCCCUGUCCCAUUUCAGUUAACGGUGUAAUCAAAUCAUAUUAGCCAGAGUUCACUAUGCUGAACUGUUACCAAAGCAUUUCAUGGGAAUUAGACCCUAAAUUUGGUUAAUAGGUAAUGGGUGCAAUGGUACUUUUCUCUGUUUUGAUACAAGAACACAGUGGGAAAACAAGAUGCUCCUUAGCAACAUGUGCCCUGUGUAAUUGUGAGUGUAGAGUACUGCUGGUCACUGAAUUCUGAUAUAAUUGUUUGUAAACUGUACUGCAGAUAUGUCUCUUACAAGGAACUUGUAAUUAAAAAGCUGCUGAAGAGUCAAAGUUGGUUUCAUCUAAUUUUGUACGUGAUGUAAUCAGACUUCUAUUUCCUUAGUUUGCAGCCUAUAUUGGAGGGGGGAAAAAGUAUUAUUUUAUUAAUAAUGUCAAUACAUCGGUUUAGCACUAAAUACUUGACUUGGCAUGUAUUUGCCUUGUGGUAGCUUUAUGCUAUAAUUCUGAAUGUGGUUACAAUUGUUUAUGGUAAUUCCUCAUAUUCCAUUUUUAAAUUUGUCCCUCAUAUGCAUACUAAAAAUAGCUAAUUUAUGUUUUUGGAAUGGUUUAUAUUUUCAGCAUUUUUGUGCAUUCGGGCUGUUGACAAUAACAUUUUAGAAAUUAAUUUUAAUUCCAUUCCAAAAUAAUUUAUAAUAACACGUUUGUAUUGACAACUGUUUUCUGCAGAAAAGGCCAGGGAAAUAUUCUGCAAAUCAUACAAUUUGAAUGGAUGCUGACAUCACAUGCUUUCAGUGGCCUUUUUUUU